This 68-nucleotide non-coding RNA is filed under the name unclassified sequences. The record is from Rfam.
CGACCGCUGCGGGGGCUGGAAAAGCCCGGAGCAGCUAAGGCCACACGGACAGCCGGGUCGAAUGCCGA